This 1483-nucleotide long non-coding RNA is filed under the name Zostera marina. Its description in RNAcentral is "long non-coding RNA (ZMAR_LNC004971)". Lineage: Eukaryota; Viridiplantae; Streptophyta; Magnoliopsida; Alismatales; Zosteraceae. The record is from RNAcentral.
UUUUGUUGUACAUUUUUUUUCGCCGUACAUGUGUUAGUGUCUUAUUGUAACUUUUGGAUUAAAAAUUAAAAGAUAAGACGGUGCAUUUUGGCGCACCGACAUACAACGACACAACACACCUGAAAAUUACUGUAAUCUGCGUGAUAUAAAAAAGUGAAUUUUAUUGUUUAAUGAUAAAUAAUUGGAGCAACCCAUUUACCAUGAUUAUUGGUUAUGUUAGAACUGUUGAUGUGUGUUUGCACAUAAGUUGUUCGAUGAAUGUCUAUCUAAUCAUCACCGGUCACCGCCUUCUCCUUCUUCCGGUCCUCGACUCUUUCAGUUCGAUGAAAUACCUAUCUAGUCUCAUCGUCUUCUCCUUCUUCCAGUCCUCGAGUCUUCCAGUUCGAUAAAAUGUCUAUCUAGCCAUCACUGCCUUCUCCUUCUUCCAGUCUUCGACUCUUUCAGUUCGAUGAAAUGUCUAUCUUGAAGUUAGAAUACACCAGGUUCCAAACUUCUCCAAUCCUCGACUUUUCUCUGAUCAUCUUCACCGACAUGAUGUUCGUCUGAGAAGAUGAUUGUUGGUCGGAUUUUCCAUCGGAAUCCACAUCUGAGAUCUGAACUUUAAUGUGCUUGAACACAAGGUUUCCACCAGUGUUUUGAGUCUUUCCACCGUUCCUGCUCCAUAAUCUACGGGGAGGUCGUUUGGCUGCCCACCUACCGUCACUUCGUCAAAACCUGUAAUAAUACCACCAUUAGACGUGAAAUUCCAAAACGAGCUUACAUGACCUAUUUUCAGACCGGUGUAUCCCUCUUAGAGGAUCACAAACUCUAACUUCGUUCCAACAGUUAUAUUACAGUUGCCAUUUCGUCUAGUAUGUUUCGGUAAUCCCAACUCAUAAAAUGGGACCAAUCUGUUCCGAAUCCAACAAUGAACCUUCUUGGAACAAAUUGAAAAACAAUUGUAAAUUUCUCAGACGACCAUCUUUGUCAGAAUAAGUCUGGAGAUCUAAUUUUUGUCGAUUUGGGGAUGAGGAUGACUAUCCGAUUUGGGUAUUGGCAGGUGAUUGCAGGUUUGGAGGUGGCAAUAACCGAUUGUGGAGAGGUUGAAUGGCAGAUAAGCUUCCAUGGCAUAACAGUAAUUUUAAAUUAAAAACGCAAUUAUUUGACUAGUCUACAGAAUAUCGGUACAUACCAAUCAAUUUAUUAUUAUUAGGGUAUGACUCCGGCCGUCUAUGUUGGUGUAUUGUUUUUUUUUGUUAUGAAAAAGCACAUGGUCACAUUUUUGACCUUAGGAUGAAAAUAAACUAAGAUGGCUACAUGUCAGUGGACGGUUGAGAUGUAGUUGAGGUUUAUAUAAUCCAUAUGUAAAUAGACCCAAAAUCAAAUAUAUUGGAUAGUCCGAAUAAAUAUUCGACUAAUUUUGAAGAUUUACCAUUUGCAUUAAAAAACCCUAGAAGCCGUUUCUGCAAACCUCUAACGAUCAACCAUCCAUGGAGGGAACAUC